GACGGGGGGGGCAAGUGUUCUUCGGAAUGACUGGGCGUAAAGGGCACGUAGGCGGUGAAUCGGGUUGAAAGUGAAAGUCGCCAAAAAGUGGCGGAAUGCUCUCGAAACCAAUUCACUUGAGUGAGACAGAGGAGAGUGGAAUUCCUGGUGUAGCGGUGAAAUGCGCAGAUAUCGGGAAGAACACCCGUGGCGAAGGCGGCACUCUGGGACGGUACUGACGCUGAGACGCGAAAGCGUGGGGAGCGAACAGG
RNAcentral lists this ribosomal RNA (251 nucleotides) under uncultured bacterium. RNAcentral describes it as "partial 16S ribosomal RNA". It matches the Rfam family "Bacterial small subunit ribosomal RNA", at positions 524 to 776 of the family's 1533-position model. The record is from RNAcentral.